CAGUAAGAGCCCUGAGAGAAGAUCAGGUAGAUAGGUUGGAAGUGGAAGUGUGGCGACACAUGUAGCGGACCAAUACUAAUCGCUCGAGGACUUAUCCUAG
RNAcentral lists this ribosomal RNA (100 nucleotides) under Streptococcus suis. RNAcentral describes it as "partial 23S ribosomal RNA". It matches the Rfam family "Bacterial large subunit ribosomal RNA", at positions 2826 to 2925 of the family's 2925-position model. Lineage: Bacteria; Bacillati; Bacillota; Bacilli; Lactobacillales; Streptococcaceae. The record is from RNAcentral.